AUUAAUUUAUUUAAAUGAAAAUUUGAGGGAGGAUAUAUUUUUAUUAUGUAUUGAAUAUCGCACUCCCAGGGCAUCUUAUACUAUUCUUAUAAUUAUUUUAUAUUUUUUAUUAUGAAUAAAGGUGCACCUAUAGCGUACACGCUGGGACCCGAAAGAUGGUGAACUAUGCCUGGUCAGGACGAAGUCAGGGGAAACCCUGAUGGAGGUCCGUAGCGAUU
RNAcentral lists this ribosomal RNA (218 nucleotides) under Myrmeleon fasciatus. RNAcentral's name for it is "partial 28S ribosomal RNA". It matches the Rfam family "Eukaryotic large subunit ribosomal RNA", at positions 705 to 885 of the family's 3401-position model. The record is from RNAcentral. Lineage: Eukaryota; Metazoa; Arthropoda; Insecta; Neuroptera; Myrmeleontidae.